RNAcentral lists this microRNA precursor (57 nucleotides) under Callithrix jacchus (white-tufted-ear marmoset). RNAcentral's name for it is "microRNA cja-mir-100 precursor". Its record names the gene cja-mir-100. It matches the Rfam family "mir-10 microRNA precursor family", at positions 8 to 66 of the family's 74-position model. Rfam says of the family: In this case the mature sequence comes from the 5' arm of the precursor. The extents of the hairpin precursors are not generally known and are estimated based on hairpin prediction. Lineage: Eukaryota; Metazoa; Chordata; Mammalia; Primates; Cebidae. The record is from miRBase by way of RNAcentral.
AACCCGUAGAUCCGAACUUGUGGUGUUAAUGUGCACAAGCUUGUGUCUAUAGGUAUG